GACGAACGCUGGCGGCGUGCUUAACACAUGCAAGUCGAACGGAAAGGCCCUGCUUGCAGGGUGCUCGAGUGGCGAACGGGUGAGUAACACGUGGGUGAUCUGCCCCUUACUUUGGGAUAAGCCUGGGAAACUGGGUCUAAUACUGGAUAGGACCAUGCUGUAGGUGGUGUGGUGGAAAGAUUAGUUUCGGUAAGGGAUGAGCUCGCGGCCUAUCAGCUUGUUGGUGGGGUAAUGGCCUACCAAGGCGUCGACGGGUAGCCGGCCUGAGAGGGUGGACGGCCACAUUGGGACUGAGAUACGGACCAGACUCCUACGGUAGGCAGCAGUGGGGAAUAUUGCACAAUGGGCGCAAGCCUGAUGCAGCGACGCCGCGUGGGGGAUGACGGCCUUCGGGUUGUAAACGCCUUUCAGCCAUGACGAAGCCCUUGUGGUGACGGUAGUGGUAGAAGAAGCACCGGCUAACUACGUG
This 469-nucleotide ribosomal RNA is filed under the name uncultured bacterium. Its description in RNAcentral is "partial 16S ribosomal RNA". It matches the Rfam family "Bacterial small subunit ribosomal RNA", at positions 28 to 507 of the family's 1533-position model. The record is from RNAcentral.